This 962-nucleotide long non-coding RNA is filed under the name Fukomys damarensis (Damara mole-rat). Its description in RNAcentral is "lncRNA (ENSFDAG00000032973.1)". The record is from RNAcentral. Lineage: Eukaryota; Metazoa; Chordata; Mammalia; Rodentia; Bathyergidae.
GGAGGGGCAAGUGAAGUGCGGAGGGGCAGGUGCUUGGCAGCUGUGCGGGGCAGCCUCAGGUUCCGGGGUGGAUUUCCACGCAGCGCUGAGACCCCCAGGGGGAUAAAGAGCAUCGGAACCUUAAGACUCCGCCUGCUGUGGGUGAACCUCGUGAACCCUUGUGUUGUCCCUAGGAGAACCCGCAUCGCACCUGCACAGCUGUCCCCGGCAGUAAGGCUCCUGAAAUUUAUCGUUGAGGCUGCAUUUGGUGGAACAGCAAUCACAAUUGUGACCAUGGGCAAGAGCAGCAAGAUGCCGCAGCACCAUGACGAUCGAAUGCCACGCGUCCCCCAGAGCGCCGGAUCUUCACUGACACCUCUGAGGCCUUUUGUCCAGCCAAGGAAUUUGGUCCGCUGUGACUGUGAGGAGUUCAGGAAGACCAAGCCAAGGAGUGCAGAGCAGCCAGAAUGGGAAGAAAGCGGUCCUGGGUCUGUCUUGGUACCCGUGUGGGUGGAAGGGCCGCCCCUGAGCACCCCAGCCCAGUACCCACCAGAAAGGGGGCUUCACCGCUCCGGGAGGCGGAGCAGCCCCACCUCCAGUCACUGCGGCUCCUUCUGAGACCACCAUGGGCCCGACAUGGGCUUCCUCCUGCUCGAGGGACACCAACAGGCAUGGCUCUCCAGGAGUGAGACCAGGUCUGCCUCCCCAAGACCCUGGGAUGCUGUUGAUCCGUCUCAGUUACUCCCCCCCACCUGUGCAUCUUGUGAAAUUAUAUAGAUUGAUCGCAAGCUUUUUGUCCCGUUUUUGCAUUAAAAAUAGCUAAUAAUAAAUGCAUAGAGCAACAGAGAAAAGAGAAAGAUAAUGCUAGUAGUUUAAUUUUUUUUUUUUUUCUGGUGCUGGGGAUUGAACUCAGGACCUUGUGCUUGCUAGGCAGGCAUGGCACCAUUGAGCUAAAUCCCUGGCCCUAGUUUAAAAAAAUUUUU